This 341-nucleotide ribosomal RNA is filed under the name uncultured maize rhizosphere bacterium c1_68. RNAcentral describes it as "bacterial SSU rRNA". It matches the Rfam family "Bacterial small subunit ribosomal RNA", at positions 975 to 1320 of the family's 1533-position model. The record is from RNAcentral.
CUAGGCUUGACAUGCAUCUCUAAGCGCGUGAAAGCGCGUGACCCUUCGGGGGAUUUGCACAGGUGCUGCAUGGCCGUCGUCAGCUCGUGUCGUGAGAUGUUGGGUUAACCCGCAACGAGCGCAACCCUUGUGAUUAGUUGCCAGCGGUUCGGCCGGGGACUCUAGUCAGACUGCCCAGAUCAACUGGGAGGAAGGUGGGGACGACGUCAGGUCAGUAUGGCCCUUACGCCUAGGGCUGCACACGUACUACAAUGCCCAGCACAAUGAGAACCGAGACCGCGAGGUGGAGGAAAUCUGUAAAACUGGGCUCAGUUCGGAUUGGAGGCUGCAACUCGCCUCCA